CUACCUCUCUAUUGAGGAGAGCAAAUAUGGCUGCAUAGAGCUGUCGAAUCCAACUGUGUUGGCAGCGUUUAUGUUAUUGUUGUUGUUGUCGUCGUCGCUGCAACUGAUUUCACUAUCUCACAUUUUCCCUUUCGGUUUUACUACUUUAAUCGAUACCUUUUAAGUUAUGCUGAAUUAUUUUGAAAACUUCACAUGAUGUCUUCUGUACAAUUAAAUUGCCAUUCUGAACACAAUGGACACCCAAGUUGAACUGUGUUGACACCACCUCAAAAGGUUGGUCAGUAGUGAGGAGCAUGCUAUUUGAGUUUUUGGGCAGGAUUGUACAGCCCUCCAUUGGUGUGGUUUCUCUUUGCCAACACCACAACUGCCAUCUGUCAUUGUUGCCACUGCACACUUAUCUCAGGCCAUGGACAGCUGGGUACCUAACCCUAAUGCUAAACCAUUUAUACCUCGAAAACGAAUGGUUCGGAACGCCUCUGGCUUUCAUGUUCGGACAUAUUCAAAAAAGAAAAUACUGGCUAAAAUAUUUCAGGUGAGCCUGGGAAUAGUUCUCAUCAUCACUGUUAUUAUCAACAUCACCUUCCUCAUUGACACAGGUAAAAAACAGCAGGAUAACUAUGCCAAGUUGUCUGGAGUGAGCACUGACAUCCACGAUAAACAGUCUAAAAAUGAGAAAUUAGGAAGAACUCUUUCUGUGAUAGUAGUAUCCAGCAAGGAUGCGGUUAGUGUCUCAGUUGAUGGGACAGCGGUUUUGCAUGAUGAAGAACCUGAUAAAAACCGAGGCAUUCAUGUUAUUGUCCUGAACCAAGCAACAGCAAGUGUGAUGGCCAAGAGGGUGUUUGAUACGUACAGUAAGCAAGAAGAUGAAGCAAUGGUCCUCUUUCUUAAUAUGAUAACAAAUGGUCGAAUCAUCAUCUUCACAAUCAAGGAUGAAGGAUCCUUUCAACUGAAACAGACUGCUCGCAAUGCAUUGAAGCAGCUUGGCAGUGAGAAAGCUGAUUUCCUCAACUGGAGAGACAUGUGGGCAUUUAUCACAAUUAAAAAAAGUGAGAAAGUGGCCGAAGCAUAUAGCAAGUCUCUUGAUUUAUCAAGUUGGGGAGAAAAAGUGACUCUUACUGCAGCAAUACCAUUAGUACCAGCUGAAUUGAGUGAAUGCCAAUGGCCAGAUGACGAAAUCAACAAUCGGCGUCGGACAUUCUGCUCUAAAGUUGAAGGUUAUGGUAGUGUUUGUCAGUGCAAGGAUCCCGCCCCAAUUGUUUUCAGUCCAAGUACCCUCCCACAACAGAAAAUCUCACAGGUGCCUGUAGCUGUGAUAGCAAGUGACCGGCCGCACUAUUUGUACAGAAUGUUGCAGUCAAUCUUGUCAACUCCUGGAGCUAAUCCUGACAUGAUAACAGUAUUUAUUGAUGGUUACUAUGAGGAACCUCUUGAAGUAACUAAAUUAUUUGGUUUGAUUGGAGUACAACAUACACCACUUGGAGUUAAAAAUGCCAGGAUAUCACAACACUAUAAAGCCAGUUUGACUGCAACUUUCAAUCGUUACAAGGAUGCUGAAUUUGCCAUCAUAGUGGAGGAAGAUUUAGAUAUAUCCCCAGACUUCUUCAAUUACUUUAGUCAGACAAUGCAUCUGCUAGAUGAAGAUCCCAGUAUUUACUGUGUGUCAGCAUGGAAUGAUCAGGGAUAUGAACAUUCAUGUAAGGAUCCAUCACUUUUGUACCGCAUUGAAACCAUGCCUGGGUUAGGUUGGAUGCUAAAACGUAAACUUUACAAAGAAGAACUAGAAGCACAGUGGCCAACCCCAGAGAAGCAAUGGGAUUGGGAUAUGUGGAUGAGAGCUAACUUUAUCCGCAAAGAUCGUGAAUGCAUCAUUCCAGAUAUUUCCCGAACCUACCAUUUUGGCUCCAAAGGAAUCAACAUGAACCCGUAUUUUCAGGAAGUUUAUUUUAAAAAGCAUUCUUUCAUGACUUUACCAAAUGUUCAACUGAAAGACAUUGAUAAGAUGAAGAAAGACUAUUAUGAGGUUCUUAUCAAGCAACUUAUCCAAGAUGCCAAACUUUUAAAUCACAGCCACCCUCCUUGUUCAGAAGACUUUGUUCCUAAUACCAAGGAUGAAAUCUAUGUGAUGUACAUAAAUAUGACUUCAGAUAAAGACUACACAACGUGGAAACAUCUAGCUAAAUGUUUCCACCUUUGGGAUUUGGAUGUCAGAGGAUUUCAUAAGAGUAUGUGGAGGCUGUUCUUGAAGACGAACCAUUUAAUCAUCAUUGGGUCACCAGCAUCCCCUUACUCAAUGUAUUGCAUAAAAGAGACAUAAACAUCACCAUGCAUGCGCUAGGCUUCUGUAUAAUUUCUAUCUACCAAAUUCUACUUGCAAAUUAUUUGUUAAACCAAUGUCAAGGUAGAUGUUUACCCAAGGGAAUAUAUGCCUGCCAACGUCCUGCCUAUCUAUUUGAAUGACAGUGUUCCAUUUCGGAAAGACGGACAGUGAUGUUUUUUUUUUUUUUGUUGGGGGGUUUUUUUUGUUUAUUUUGGUGCAACACUUACUUCCAUUUUUUUGUUUAAAUUUUUCCUGUUAAGGGAUUUUCCCUUUUUUUAUUUAAAUUUUUAUUUUCUUGGUCAUUCACCGCAAGCUAAAUCAGGGAAAAUGGCUAACAACGGUCAAUGAAUAUAUUGCUGUUAGCCAAAUAGAAGAAUAUAUACCAGCUGCCUACCAGCCAUGAUGUCGUGACUGAAGACACUCUUUGUCUUUCCAUAAACUUUUUAUCAUCCUCCACUAACUGUGGCAACUAUUUUGUAAUGAAACUGUCAAAAGUUACUCAUUGCCUUUGUCAAAAUCUCUCUCCACAAGUCUCUAAAGAGAAUUUGGCAACAGCUGGUGCACCAGCAAUAAAUGUGUUUCUUUUUGACUGAACUUGCUGUAAACUCGAACUUGUAUAUCAGAACAUUAUAUAGACAGAUGCUUAUUUUUCUACACUUUCAAACACAAUUCUUGUUCAAAAUUGUCUUUAUUUUAUUCAAACUUCAGAACCAUUUCUAAAAUAAAGAAAAGAAAACAAAAAAAUUUGAUAUUUCACUCAAAAAUAUUAAACAUAUUUUCAUAUUCUUCAUUUUGCUUAUAUUUUGGUUUUUAAUUUCUUUUUAGAAUUAUAUUUCUAACCAAAGCAUUCCAUUCAGAGGUUAUUAGGUUUUAUGCCAUCUUGAUUUUUUAUUUUUUUGUAGCUUCAUAUACAAUCUUUUGUUUAUCCAAACCAACAAUAUUUGUUUAUUAAGCUUUUUGGCUACUUUUAUCUUUUGACAACUUAACUUGUUCUGUUCUGUUCUGUUAUAUUCAGAUCCAAGUGAAUUGUUGCUUAUAGGAUUCUUUUAGAGUCUUAAACUUAUGGUAAUCUGUUGAUGUCAGAUCCGUCCUGUGCUUAUUCUAGCCAUGUGAUUUAAUUUAUCUAAUCAUACUAUUAGACAGUAGCAGUGAAGAGUAAGCUUCAACAUAAAGUUCUUAUUAUUGCUGUGUUAGGUUUAAUUUUGAAGCAAUGCUUUGUUUUAUAAACAGAGUUGCUGUAUUCCUUUGGAAAUAUACUGCUAUAAAUAGCAGAUUAUUCUGGACGUAUUUUUAGAGUUUUUCCUUCAGUUCAGUACAGAGAAGGUACACUGUAUUUUCUAUGAUUUUUAAAGUUGCAGUUAAAUGAGUUUCAAUUAAAAUAUUUUGUUAUUGAGUCUGUUGAUAAAUGUUUAUUUUAAUCAAGAUUGUAAGAAAAAUGACUAAAAACAUUUCUUAAGAUAGAUUAACUUAAAGCUUUUUUUUAUCUUUAUCUUCCCACUAAGAUAUAAGUGAGGAUGGAUGUUUUCUUCUCUGAACAAAAUAAGCAGCUGCUUAUUUUAGGUGGAAACCAUCUAAAUGUAGUAUCUCCGGAAAUGUUUGGUUUAAGCAAGUUAUGUUAUUGCAGAAGAUCAGAGUUGUAUGUUUGUUAUCUUAACUGAGGUCUUUUACAUUUUGGUGGUUAACAGAAGAUCAAGAAGAGAACAGUAACAGGGCAAAGACUGUUUAAAAAAAGCAGGUUAACAUGGAUGAACUUGUAGUUUAUGCUUCAUGUGUUGGAGUUGUCAUUCCUGGAUCUGAUAUAUGCCUUAGAUUCUUGGACGUUAUAGAUUUAUUAUUUAUUUUAGGGGUAGAAUUUAGAUCAAAUGAACAUUUAAAGAAGGAUAUGGGAACAAUAAUGGUUUAAAAUUUAUAACAACAAAAUCUAUGUCAACAUACAAAAAGUACUUAUUUUUUACUUCGACACAUUGAAGUUCCUUACUGAUAUAGUUGGUCUUUACAUCUGUUAUAUAAUCUUGUGUUAGAUAUUGUUGAUGAUGAAACGAUCUUAAGCCUUAUCCCUUUGUUUAUCAUAUCUUUGUUGUUCUUGUUCAUUCUAUUUCCUCUCAUCUAAAUCUGAAGACGUUAAGUUGCCAAAAGUCUAAGUUGUUUAAAUUUAGUCAUAAUCAUAAUCAUCGUCAUCAUCUUCAUUGUUAUCAUCAUCAUUACCACCUCCACCACAAUUCUAGUGAUAGCUGGAGAAAUACUGGAUUUGUGGAUUUUGAUUCAUAAGUUCAUAUUCUACUGUUAGCACUCUGAUGUGUCCCUUUAGAAGCCACCUUGAAUUUUACAAUGACAUGACCCCUAAUUAAACAAAUUAUUAUUAAUUACACACACACAAAAAA
This is an RNA transcript of Octopus sinensis (East Asian common octopus), 4698 nucleotides long. It is a transcript of the gene named protein O-linked-mannose beta-1,2-N-acetylglucosaminyltransferase 1, with no coding region annotated. The record is from RefSeq and is a predicted model, not a curated record. The transcript is spliced from 22 exons. Lineage: Eukaryota; Metazoa; Mollusca; Cephalopoda; Octopoda; Octopodidae.